This 277-nucleotide ribosomal RNA is filed under the name uncultured prokaryote. Its description in RNAcentral is "partial 16S ribosomal RNA". It matches the Rfam family "Bacterial small subunit ribosomal RNA", at positions 524 to 800 of the family's 1533-position model. The record is from RNAcentral.
UACGUAGGGUCCGAGCGUUGUCCGGAAUUAUUGGGCGUAAAGAGCUCGUAGGCGGCCUGUCGCGUCUGCUGUGAAAGUCCGGGGCUUAACUCCGGGUGUGCAGUGGAUACGGGCAGGCUUGAGGUAGGUAGGGGAGACUGGAAUUCCUGGUGUAGCGGUGAAAUGCGCAGAUAUCAGGAGGAACACCGGUGGCGAAGGCGGGUCUCUGGGCCUUACCUGACGCUGAGGAGCGAAAGCGUGGGGAGCGAACAGGAUUAGAUACCCGGGUAGUUCCUGA